AGAGUUUGAUCAUGGCUCAGGAUGAACGCUGGCGGUAUGCCUAACACAUGCAAGUCGAACGAUGUCUUCGGACAUAGUGGCGGACGGGUGAGUAACGCGUGAGAAUCUGCCUCUAGGAUGGGGAUAACGGUUGGAAACGACCGCUAACACCCAAUAUGCCGUAAGGUGAAAAAUUUAUUGCCUGGAGAGGAGCUCGCGUCUGAUUAGCUAGUUGGUGGGGUAAGAGCUCACCAAGGCUUCGAUCAGUAGCUGGUCUGAGAGGAUGAGCAGCCACACUGGGACUGAGACACGGCCCAGACUCCUACGGGAGGCAGCAGUGGGGAAUUUUCCGCAAUGGGCGAAAGCCUGACGGAGCAAUACCGCGUGAGGGAGGAAUGCCUUUGGGUUGUAAACCUCUUUUCUCAGGGAAGAAGAUCUGACGGUACCUGAGGAAUAAGUAUCGGCUAACUCCGUGCCAGCAGCCGCGGUAAUACGGAGGAUGCAAGCGUUAUCCGGAAUCAUUGGGCGUAAAGCGUCCGCAGGUGGUUUCCAAAGUCUGCUGUUAAAGACUGGAGCUCAACUCCGGAACGGCGGUGGAAACUUGGAAACUAGAGUUCGGUAGGGGUAGCAGGAAUUCCCAGUGUAGCGGUGAAAUGCGUAGAUAUUGGGAAGAACAUCGGUGGCGAAGGCGUGCUACUGGACCGUAACUGACACUCAGGGACGAAAGCUAGGGGAGCGAAAGGGAUUAGAUACCCCUGUAGUCCUAGCUGUAAACGAUGGAAACUAGGUGUGGCUUGUAUCGACCCGAGCCGUGCCGUAGCUAACGCGUUAAGUUUCCCGCCUGGGGAGUACGCACGCAAGUGUGAAACUCAAAGGAAUUGAC
This 862-nucleotide ribosomal RNA is filed under the name uncultured marine microorganism. Its description in RNAcentral is "bacterial SSU rRNA". It matches the Rfam family "Bacterial small subunit ribosomal RNA", at positions 8 to 914 of the family's 1533-position model. The record is from RNAcentral.